AGCUGAUCAUUGGGCUUAAAGGGUGCGCAGGCGGUUUUGUAAGACAGAGGUGAAAUCCCCGGGCUCAACCUGGGAACUGCCUUUGUGACUGCAAGGCUGGAGUGCGGCAGAGGGGGAUGGAAUUCCGCGUGUAGCAGUGAAAUGCGUAGAUAUGCGGAGGAACGCCGAUGGCGAAGGCAAUCCCCUGGCCUGCACUGACGCUCAUGCACGAAAGCGUGGGGAGCAAACA
Molecule: ribosomal RNA, 229 nt
Filed under: uncultured Alicycliphilus sp.
Lineage: Bacteria; Pseudomonadati; Pseudomonadota; Betaproteobacteria; Burkholderiales; Comamonadaceae
Description: partial 16S ribosomal RNA
Rfam family: Bacterial small subunit ribosomal RNA
Source: RNAcentral